Molecule: unclassified non-coding RNA, 395 nt
Filed under: Hevea brasiliensis (rubber tree)
Lineage: Eukaryota; Viridiplantae; Streptophyta; Magnoliopsida; Malpighiales; Euphorbiaceae
Source: RNAcentral
ACCUGCCAAAACAGAAAUCAAUUGGAUUCAUUAGUCACAUCAUAAAAAGCUCUCACAACUCGUGCUUGCCUUUUAGGGCAGGGGAAAAACAGAUUUUCCACGUGAACUUGGCAGUGAGUCCCCAUACCCUAUACGUUCAUCUAAUUUGAAUGAUGUAAAUGAAACAAUUAUAUGAAAGAUCAUUUAGGGAAGUUGUCUUAAAUGAUAAUGAACUAUAAUACUCAAAAAAAUUUAAAUGUUGAAAGAUAAAGCAGAGUCUGUGUGGAUUUCUUUGGAGCUUUGUUGACAUCAUCUUGGCAGAAACAGUAAUUGAAAGUGCAUCAACAAAAAAGACCCAUUAUACUAUACCUUCGGGUUUAAAACGUAAACAUUUUUUAAACACAAAUGAACUUGCC